RNAcentral lists this transfer RNA (72 nucleotides) under Culex quinquefasciatus (southern house mosquito). It matches the Rfam family "tRNA". From Rfam's summary of the family: Transfer RNA (tRNA) molecules are approximately 80 nucleotides in length. Their secondary structure includes four short double-helical elements and three loops (D, anti-codon, and T loops). Further hydrogen bonds mediate the characteristic L-shaped molecular structure. tRNAs have two regions of fundamental functional importance: the anti-codon, which is responsible for specific mRNA codon recognition, and the 3' end, to which the tRNAs corresponding amino acid is attached (by aminoacyl-tRNA synthetases). tRNAs cope with the degeneracy of the genetic code in two manners: having more than one tRNA (with a specific anti-codon) for a particular amino acid; and 'wobble' base-pairing, i.e. permitting non-standard base-pairing at the 3rd anti-codon position. The record is from Rfam by way of RNAcentral. Lineage: Eukaryota; Metazoa; Arthropoda; Insecta; Diptera; Culicidae.
GGCUCAAUGGUCUAGGGGUAUGAUUUUCGUUUCGGGUGCGAGAGGUUCCAGGUUCAAAUCCCGGUUGAGCCC